UCCUUGGUGGUCUAGUGGCUAGGAUUCGGCGCUUUCACCGCCGCGGCCCGGUUUCGAUUCCCGGUCAGGGAA
Molecule: transfer RNA, 72 nt
Organism: Oryctolagus cuniculus (rabbit)
Lineage: Eukaryota; Metazoa; Chordata; Mammalia; Lagomorpha; Leporidae
Rfam family: tRNA
About the family: Transfer RNA (tRNA) molecules are approximately 80 nucleotides in length. Their secondary structure includes four short double-helical elements and three loops (D, anti-codon, and T loops).
Source: Rfam